This 49-nucleotide ribosomal RNA is filed under the name Euceraea sp. US:Redden7267. Its description in RNAcentral is "partial 26S ribosomal RNA". Lineage: Eukaryota; Viridiplantae; Streptophyta; Magnoliopsida; Malpighiales; Salicaceae. The record is from RNAcentral.
GCAACCCUAAGUCAGGCGGGACCAUUCGCUGAGUUUAAGCAUAUCAAUA